GACGAACGCUGGCGGCGUGCCUAAUACAUGCAAGUCGAGCGCAGGAAAUCGACGGAACCCUUCGGGGGGAAGUCGACGGAAUGAGCGGCGGACGGGUGAGUAACACGUAAAGAACCUGCCCUCAGGUCUGGGAUAACCACGAGAAAUCGGGGCUAAUACCGGAUGGGUCAUCGGACCGCAUGGUCCGAGGAUGAAAGGCGCUUCGGCGUCGCCUGGGGAUGGCUUUGCGGUGCAUUAGCUAGUUGGUGGGGUAAUGGCCCACCAAGGCGACGAUGCAUAGCGAACCUGCGAGGGUGAUCGGCCACACUGGGAGUGAGACACGGCCCAGACUCCUACGGGAGGCAGCAGUAGGGAAUCUUCCACAAUGGACGAAAGUCUGAUGGAGCAACGCCGCGUGAACGAUGAAGGCCUUCGGGUCGUAAAGUUCUGUUGUAAGGGAAGAACAAGUGCCGCAGGCAAUGGCGGCACCUUGACGGUACCUUGCGAGAAAGCCACGGCUAACUACGUGCCAGCAGCCGCGGUAA
RNAcentral lists this ribosomal RNA (524 nucleotides) under uncultured bacterium. RNAcentral's name for it is "partial 16S ribosomal RNA". It matches the Rfam family "Bacterial small subunit ribosomal RNA", at positions 28 to 523 of the family's 1533-position model. The record is from RNAcentral.